UACGGAGGGAGCUAGCGUUGUUCGGAAUUACUGGGCGUAAAGCGCACGUAGGCGGCUUUGUAAGUUAGAGGUGAAAGCCCGGGGCUCAACCCCGGGAGGCGGAUGGAUACUGCUUGGCUCGAGUCCGGAAGAGGCGAGUGGAAUUCCCGGUGUAGCGGUGAAAUGCGCAGAUAUCAGGAGGAACACCGGUGGCGAAGGCGGGUCUCUGGGCCGUAACUGACGCUGAGGAGCGAAAGCGUGGGGAGCGAACAGG
RNAcentral lists this ribosomal RNA (253 nucleotides) under uncultured bacterium. Its description in RNAcentral is "partial 16S ribosomal RNA". It matches the Rfam family "Bacterial small subunit ribosomal RNA", at positions 524 to 776 of the family's 1533-position model. The record is from RNAcentral.